GCAAUGCUGAUGAGACCAAACCAGGUCUAAACAGCUGUCCAGUAC
Echinostoma caproni is the source of this 45-nucleotide non-coding RNA. The record is from Rfam. Lineage: Eukaryota; Metazoa; Platyhelminthes; Trematoda; Plagiorchiida; Echinostomatidae.